RNAcentral lists this transfer RNA (92 nucleotides) under Candidatus Margulisiibacteriota bacterium. RNAcentral's name for it is "tRNA-Ser". It matches the Rfam family "tRNA". Rfam says of the family: Transfer RNA (tRNA) molecules are approximately 80 nucleotides in length. Their secondary structure includes four short double-helical elements and three loops (D, anti-codon, and T loops). Lineage: Bacteria; Bacillati; Candidatus Margulisiibacteriota. The record is from RNAcentral.
GGAGAGGUGGCCGAGUCCGGUUGAAGGCACACGCCUCGAAAGCGUGCAUACCUUAACGGGUAUCGUGGGUUCAAAUCCCACCCUCUCCGCCA